AAAUAUCUAGGCCAUCCAGAAGUGGUGUAAUACACCGACCAUCCUAGUACACGAAAGUGUAGGAUGAUAUCCUGAAAGGUGAGAAACCUUACUUUGUAAAGCUAGGUCUGGAGGAGUUAGAAGGAUAGU
Molecule: non-coding RNA, 129 nt
Filed under: unclassified sequences
Description: EGFOA RNA
Rfam family: EGFOA RNA
Source: Rfam by way of RNAcentral